UAAGGAUAAUAAUAAUGUGAUGUAAUUCUACGACUGAAGCUCUAAUUAUCACCGACGACCACUACACGUCUAGUGAUUAUGUUGUGUUAUUACAGACACGCGUAGAUAAAGAUAUAAAGUUUUACAGGAGGAACACUGUAUGAUUUGUCGUGGAGCCGGAUGACUUAUGGCCUGUCGAAUUUAUGGAUAUUUCUAAAUUCAAAUGGAUGAUAAAUUCAAGCGACUUAUACUUCUGCGUUUCUGACGUAAGCCACAGCUGUACAAAUGAAUUUUAACAACUAUAUUAUUAUUUAUUUAUUUUUUCCGAAGAUAAAUAUCAUUUUUGAAAUAAUAUGGAGGAAUUCGAAUCUAUACCUUGCGAUUCGUUGACAGCGAGACACGUGUGAAGCAGGAAGAGAUCGAAGAUUGCCGAAAACUCCUUUGCCGGGUGACUAAUCGCGUAAUAAACGCGUUAAAACUGCGGCAAAUAUUAUGAAUUUUUGGUGAUUUGGCCGAGGAAUAGAAAGUAGGAAUGCAUUUUUGAUCGUUAACGUUAACGGUCGAAAAACGCGCGUCGAUAAUUAUUUUUCCAUUGAUUAUUUUAUCCUUACAUACAAACCAAUGCUGCAGGUAACGAAACCCGAAGCUAGGUGAAAUUGUGGUGCGCGGCUUCUGCUUGAUGCUUGAAUUCUAAAUUAAACAAAAUAAGUGUGAUAUUUCAUGUAGUUGUUGGAAAUAUUUUAAAAUUAGAAUCUAAGUUCAUAUAAGCUGACCUACGAGUUGGUGAAUAUCAAUGUAUAAUACAUUGACCCUUGACCAUGAGUCAGAUUUUAUCUUCAAUUGUCGAGUUAUUUUCAUUGUCGUUUUCCGAGUCACGAGUCAUUAGCAAUUGAAAGGUUUCUUUUCUUUUCUUCGUUUGGCUCAGUUCAUUUUACCGACUUUUCCUUGUAGCUGAUAAUCUCAAUGUUUUUGAAUGCCUGUUAUAAGUAAAAUGGUAAAACCUAAAUAAUCUCAAGGCCUUCGCCCGCCAUACGUACAUGAAGCGUUCACGACCUCCACGCGAUAGAAGAAAACUUCAAAGGGUGAUUCAUUUCGAACUUGUUGUUCGUCUUUGUGGUCAAAGGAUUUUGGAAAGAACAAAAUUUAGGAGUUCGUUCGGAGAAGCGAACUUACUAUUUUCGAUCUGGGCUAUACAAGGAAGAAGUUGAUCAUGAUGGAAUGGAAGAAGCGUCAACAACCAGAGACUUGCACCUGCUAAAAGGCACUAAGUUUGUGAUGUGAUGUGAAAAACUAAUUGAUUUUUGUUCCCUUUUUUGGUUUCUGAAUUAUCAUUCAGACGAGGAAUGAAAACUUUUAUUCGAUCCCACGUCAAGAAUUCCGCAAGCGGCGAGAAUACCCUUGAGCCAAAACGUUGCCGGGGCUCGUCCCAGAAUCCAAAUAUGCUCACUAAAUUGGUUUAACGAUCGAUUUAUUUUCUAUGUAUAGCGAAUUUUAUACUUUAAAUUGCAAUAAAAUUGUAAUAUCUCCAA
Molecule: long non-coding RNA, 1508 nt
Organism: Athalia rosae (coleseed sawfly)
Lineage: Eukaryota; Metazoa; Arthropoda; Insecta; Hymenoptera; Athaliidae
Exons: 2
Source: RefSeq, a predicted model, not a curated record